AUGGAGCGGAUACGGCUGAUGCUUGGGGCUCUGCUCCUCUCCCUCUCUCUGCCCAAUCUCCCUGCCCAAGAUAAUGUCACCGUCACUGUACCUGAGAAUGUCACCAUGGCAGCACCUAUUAAUGAGGAAGUCACGAUGGCAGCCUCUACACCGGAGGCCACCAUAGAGACAACGCCUGCUCCUAUGGUCAUCACUAGGGCACAGCCUGCCCCUGAAAUCAUCAUCCCGGUAACUGCUAUUCCGAAAGUAACUUCUGUUUUAGUACCUACCACUGAUGCCAUCACUAUGGUAAUAACAAACCCUGAGAUCACCAUCGUUCAGGAGUCCACCUCUGAUGCACCAACUACUACUUCAGAGGUUGAAACGAUGACACCUUCCCCUGUGACCACUGAAGGGCCUAUAGAUACGACCAAUCCACCUGAUCCUAAACCCACCCUCUCCCAAGACGUCCUUAUGACCGCCUCUUAUCUCCCAACCCCUUCCCAGGACCACCUGACUUUUGUUAUCCCAGUCUGGCCCCUCCAAACCACCCCUCGUCUGACGGAGGACUCCAUUCCACUCACACCUGAACCUACACCUGCCUCAGAGAUUACUGCCUGCCACACAGAGGGACUUACCACUGCACCCACCUCCCCAUUGGUCAAUACCCCUCCCGGCCAUGCCACGACCCCCUCUACCACCCACACCUCCACAGAUCCAGACUCUACGGUGGCUGGGGUCAGGGUGAAGACAGGUCAGCCCAGCUUGUUAUGGGUCAUCAUCGUUGCUCUCCUGAUCGUGGUUAUAUUCGCGGGCGGGUUCUACUGUGUUUGUCUGGUCAUCAGACGAAAGAGGCAGAGCCACACCGAGUACUUUGUGUCCAGCUUCCGGAACGGGAAGAGUUCCAAGCGGAAGAAAGGGGCGGAGGAAGACGCCUGGGCAGGGCCAGUGAAGCUAGGGCGUGGGGAUGGGGAGGAGGAUGAGGGUGGGGAGGAGGGAGGGAGCCCAGAGGACAACAAGAGAGAGGGGGCUGGAACGGAUGUGGUGCUGAGCACAUUCAUAGCCAACGAGACUGAGGGAGAGAGGGGUGGGCCUGAUGGGGGAGUAGGAGUGGCUGGGAGCAAGGAGGCAGAGAAAUGGGAGGAGAAGGAGCCUCUGCUGUACAUUGAUGAGGGAGUGGAGGAGGGGCAAGAGAGGAUGGCUCCUCCUUCACUUUCAAAAUCGAACUGA
Molecule: long non-coding RNA, 1209 nt
Filed under: Salmo trutta (river trout)
Lineage: Eukaryota; Metazoa; Chordata; Actinopteri; Salmoniformes; Salmonidae
Description: lncRNA (ENSSTUG00000031601.1)
Source: RNAcentral